ACGGGUGAGUAACACGUGGGUAAUCUGCCCUAGACACAGGAAUAACCAGUGGAGACGCUGGCUAAUGCCUGAUGAUGUGCCGGCUUUUCGGGGCUGGUACCAAAGGUAGCUUCGGCUUCCGGUCUUGGAUGAGCCCGCGGCCCAUUAGCUUGUUGGCGGGGUAAUGGCCCACCAAGGCUUCGAUGGGUAGCUGGUCUGAGAGGACGAUCAGCCACACUGGGACUGAGACACGGCCCAGACUCCUACGGGAGGCAGCAGGGGGGAAUCUUGCGCAAUGGGCGAAAGCCUGACGCAGCAACGCCGCGUGCGGGAAGAAGGUCUUAGGGUUGUAAACCGCUUUCAGCAGGGACGAAGGCGUCCGGGUUAAUAGCCCGUACGUUGACGGUACCUGCAGAAGAAGGUCCGGCUAACUACGUGCCAGCAGCCGCGGUAAUACGUAGGGACCAAGCGUUGUCCGGAAUCAUUGGGCGUAAAGAGCGUGUAGGCGGCUUGUUAAGUCUUGCGUGAAAUCUCGGGGCUCAACCCCGAGCGGUCGUGAGAAACUGGCAGGCUAGAGUGCGGGAGAGGAGAGUGGAAUUCCUGGUGUA
This 587-nucleotide ribosomal RNA is filed under the name uncultured bacterium. RNAcentral describes it as "bacterial SSU rRNA". It matches the Rfam family "Bacterial small subunit ribosomal RNA", at positions 102 to 677 of the family's 1533-position model. The record is from RNAcentral.